UUAGAAAAAACAAAGUCCUUAAUUUUCAAGUAUUAGCCCCCCAGAAGUUUCAGCAGAUAGCUGGACUCUUGAAUAAUGAUUUCUUUUGAUAUGUCUGACUUUGCUAUUUAAAGUCUCCUUUCCCAGCCCUCAGUCUUAAAACUCAGUUUUAUUACUGACGGAUUUAACAGACUCUUACUUGAAAAUUGUCCAAUUAUCAGUACUGAAAAUUAGAUUUGGAAAAUGAAAAAAUAAUAAAAUCGCAUCAAGAAAACUUAUUACCUUAGAGAUUCCCAAUUGAUAUCUGUACCCCUGAUCCAAGUAAGGCCUUUAUGAAUGUAUUUUAUAUUUCCUAAAGAAAUAGGGAAUAUGCCAUCAGUGUAAUCACCUCUAUUCACAGUCAUUUAAUUUGAAAAUCUAACUCAUGUCUCUUGAAUUAGACAUUCCAAUUGGGAUAGGUAGAGUCAUGUUAAAACAAUAGAAUAGCAACUGCCAUAUUGGUAGUUUCACUGCUCAAUAUGAUUUCUAAUAAGAGCAGAGCUUUAUUGGAAGCUAAAACUCAUUUUUCUCCAUAGAUGAUUCUAACAGUUUAAUAAAAAAGUAUAAUUAUACUUUAAGUGUCAACAGAUUUUGAGUCUAGAAGCAAAUUUCAUUUUCCUUGUGUUAUAUCUAAUAUCCAUUGACAUGGGUAAGAAAACUAAUUAUGUCUUUUUAGUAUGAUGAAAUGUGGGCCCAGAGUAUUGGAAAGAAAGCAAUAGCCCUAUUCAGUGUCCACUAGGAUGGAUAUUGCAGAAGGCAUGAGUUUGUCCUUUUUUCCCCCUUACCUUAAAUAACACUUCAAUAGCUAACUUUUUCCAAAAUAUCCAUUUAGGCCAUCUCUUAUUUCUUAAAGCCAAAUAUUUCGUCCCCAGUCUUAACUCUGAGUUGCAAGAUCAGGCUGGUUGGAAGAAUCUUUAUAUUUAGAAAUAGGAUGGUGAGUGGUUUGUUUAUUCUCUUGUAAAAUUCCUUUUUCAGAGACAUAACUGCAGGGAGAGUCCCAAGAGAACUGAAGAACUGGAUUAUAUCAUUAAACACAUUUGUGUUGUAGGAAUUUGGGAGUUUCAUUUUGAACUGAUAAGAUAUUAGACAUAAACCCUUGUUCCAGCCCACAUGUGUCAUCCCUGUGUACAAAAGCUCUCUGGAUUCUUUUUUUUUUUUUGAGACGGAGUUUCGCUCUUAUCGUCCAGGCUGGAGUGAGUGUAGUGGCUUGAUCUCAGCUCACUGCAACCUUUGCCUCCCGGGCUCAAGCGAUUCUCCUGCCUCAGCCUCCCAAGUAGCUGGGAUUACAAGCAUGUGCCACCAUGCCCAGCUAAUUUUCUGUAUUUUUAGUAGAGACGGGGUUUCACCAUGUUGGCCAGGCUGGUCUCGAACUCCUGACCUCAAGUGAUCUGCCCGCCUCAGCUUCCCAAAAUGCUGGAAUUACAGGCAUGAGCCAUCACGCCUAGCCUACUCUCUGAAUUUCUAAAAGUCAGUAGGUUGACCAAAAAGUCUAGAAACUGGCUUUAAGUCAGUAUGGGACGUACUUAUAAAGAGUCCAUGGUUUUGCACGUUUCGGUAGACAAGUAAAUCUGAGUUAUUUUUCAAUGACUUACCAAUAUUUGAAUAGUAACUAAGAUCGUCAGUGUAUCUGGACUUCUUUUUUUGAAGUUCUAAAACAAUUAUAGUAGGGAUUUAUUAUUUUGGGCCUCCAUCCAGAUGUUUUUCCAAGAUCAUUUUUAAAAUUCAUUUGUCUUCUGUUUCCAGAUAACAUACUUUCCGUUCUAUAGGAAUCUUCACUGCCAAUCAUAGUAUCUACCAGUGGCUUUCUUAGACUAUUCACUCCAAAGCUGGGACUGAUGUCCUGCCAGUAGAGAAUCUACAGAAAUAAUUUGAAUGAAUUAAAACCAAAUCUUGAUAGCAGGAGACAGCUUCCUGAUCUAGAUGUACAAUUAGAGUUUAGGUUGGAAAUUACUUUAAAAUGUGUUUUUUGGGGAUGUCUUCAAUCUCUGUGUAAAUACCCACAUGCUUAUGCAUUGUAAACCAAGUGUGUAUUCCUGUGUAUGAAUUUGUAGAACUGAUUUCUGCUUCAAGAGAAGCUGCACCUUUAAUUUUAUAAGGUCCCCUCCACCUGUAACCCUAUAAAUGUCUGUAAAUAAAACACUAAAAUUUGUAGUGAUAGGAUCAAUUUGGGAAUAUCUGCUGAGAGACCAAAAAGUUCAUUUUUUUAAGUACCUUGGUUAAAGAGUAAAGAUUAUUCCUCUUAUUUUUUAAAGAAGAAUGCACUUUAACAAACAUAGAGCUGCAUGGGCAAUUCAAACAAAUCUGUGAAGUGCAGUACCCAUUCAGAAAUCACACUUCCUGAAAACCGUUCAAAAGCAGAGUCCAGACGGGCUGUUGAUCUCACUGCCUGUAGGUUGAAGCUCAGAUUCUGAUCAAUUUUGAGAGGAGCAGGGCUGCUUCAAAAGAGCAAUGUGAAUACAGUCAGAAGCUUCAGACUGGUCUGUAAAAAUGGCGGGUCCCGUAUUUACCACUAACUAGCAAAACUGACAGAAAAACUCACAGAGAAAAAAUGUAAGAAUCCUUCCUGCUGGUGUGCACUCCUUACAAUAGACUUUUGCAAAUGGAGUUUUACAGUCUAUAUUUAAAAAAAAUUGUAUGUUUGUAACAAAUAAAGUAUGCAGAAAAGUG
This 2685-nucleotide long non-coding RNA is filed under the name Homo sapiens (human). Its description in RNAcentral is "non-protein coding lnc-H2AFV-3:1". The record is from RNAcentral. Lineage: Eukaryota; Metazoa; Chordata; Mammalia; Primates; Hominidae.